AGGACGAACGCUGGCGGCGUGCUUAACACAUGCAAGUCGAGGGCACUUAUGCAGCAAUGUGUGAGUGACCGGCGAACGGGUGCGUAACACGUGAGCGACCUUGCCUCGUGGUGGGGGAUAGCCGGCCCAACGGCCGGGUAAUACCGCAUAUGGUAGUUUCUUCGCAUGGGGAGACUAGCAAAGCCUUGCAGCAAUGCAAUGGCGCCACAGGGGGGGCUCGCGGCCUAUCAGCUAGUUGGGGGGGUAAUGGCCCACCAAGGCGACGACGGGUAGC
RNAcentral lists this ribosomal RNA (274 nucleotides) under uncultured bacterium. RNAcentral describes it as "partial small subunit ribosomal RNA". It matches the Rfam family "Bacterial small subunit ribosomal RNA", at positions 26 to 287 of the family's 1533-position model. The record is from RNAcentral.